GACGAACGCUGGCGGCGUGCUUAACACAUGCAAGUCGAACGGUAAGGCCCUUCGGGGUACACGAGUGGCGAACGGGUGAGUAACACGUGGGUGAUCUGCCCUGCACUUCGGGAUAAGCCUGGGAAACUGGGUCUGAUACCGGAUAGGACCCUGGGAUGCAUGUCCUGGGGUGGAAAGCUUUUGCGGUGUGGGAUGGGCCCGCGGCCUAUCAGCUUGUUGGUGGGGUGAUGGCCUACCAAGGCGACGACGGGUAGCCGGCCUGAGAGGGUGACCGGCCACACUGGGACUGAGAUACGGCCCAGAAUCCUACGGGAGGCAGCAGUGGGGAAUAUUGCACAAUGGGCGCAAGCCUGAUGCAGCGACGCCGCGUGAGGGAUGACGGCCUUCGGGUUGUAAACCUCUUUCAGCACCGACGAAGCGCAAGUGACGGUAGGUGCAGAAGAAGGACCGGCCAACUACGUGCCAGCCGCCGCAGUAA
This 478-nucleotide ribosomal RNA is filed under the name uncultured bacterium. RNAcentral describes it as "partial 16S ribosomal RNA". It matches the Rfam family "Bacterial small subunit ribosomal RNA", at positions 28 to 523 of the family's 1533-position model. The record is from RNAcentral.